This 582-nucleotide ribosomal RNA is filed under the name bacterium 84-L049393-122-001-D11. Its description in RNAcentral is "bacterial SSU rRNA". It matches the Rfam family "Bacterial small subunit ribosomal RNA", at positions 60 to 625 of the family's 1533-position model. The record is from RNAcentral.
AGUCGAGCGACAGACGAGGAGCUUGCUCCUCUGACGUUAGCGGCGGACGGGUGAGUAACACGUGGAUAACCUACCUAUAAGACUGGGAUAACUUCGGGAAACCGGAGCUAAUACCGGAUAAUAUAUUGAACCGCAUGGUUCAAUAGUGAAAGACGGUUUUGCUGUCACUUAUAGAUGGAUCCGCGCCGCAUUAGCUAGUUGGUAAGGUAACGGCUUACCAAGGCAACGAUGCGUAGCCGACCUGAGAGGGUGAUCGGCCACACUGGAACUGAGACACGGUCCAGACUCCUACGGGAGGCAGCAGUAGGGAAUCUUCCGCAAUGGGCGAAAGCCUGACGGAGCAACGCCGCGUGAGUGAUGAAGGUCUUCGGAUCGUAAAACUCUGUUAUUAGGGAAGAACAAAUGUGUAAGUAACUAUGCACGUCUUGACGGUACCUAAUCAGAAAGCCACGGCUAACUACGUGCCAGCAGCCGCGGUAAUACGUAGGUGGCAAGCGUUAUCCGGAAUUAUUGGGCGUAAAGCGCGCGUAGGCGGUUUUUUAAGUCUGAUGUGAAAGCCCACGGCUCACCCGUGGAGGGUCA